GACGAACUCUGGCGGCGUGCUUAACACAUGCAAGUCGAACGGAAAGGCCCUGCUUUUGUGGGGUGCUCGAGUGGCGAACGGGUGAGUAACACGUGAGUAACCUGCCCUUGACUUUGGGAUAACUUCAGGAAACUGGGGCUAAUACCGGAUAGGAGCUCCUGCUGCAUGGUGGGGGUUGGAAAGUUUCGGCGGUUGGGGAUGGACUCGCGGCUUAUCAGCUUGUUGGUGGGGUAGUGGCUUACCAAGGCUUUGACGGGUAGCCGGCCUGAGAGGGUGACCGGCCACAUUGGGACUGAGAUACGGCCCAGACUCCUACGGGAGGCAGCAGUGGGGAAUAUUGCACAAUGGGCGGAAGCCUGAUGCAGCAACGCCGCGUGCGGGAUGACGGCCUUCGGGUUGUAAACCGCUUUCGCCUGUGACGAAGCGUGAGUGACGGUAAUGGGUAAAGAAGCACCGGCUAACUACGUGCCAGCAGCCGCGGUGAUACGUAGGGUGCGAGCGUUGUCCGGAUUUAUUGGGCGUAAAGGGCUCGUAGGUGGUUGAUCGCGUCGGAAGUGUAAUCUUGGGGCUUAACCCUGAGCGUGCUUUCGAUACGGGUUGACUUGAGGAAGGUAGGGGAGAAUGGAAUUCCUGGUGGAGCGGUGGAAUGCGCAGAUAUCAGGAGGAACACCAGUGGCGAAGGCGGUUCUCUGGGCCUUUCCUGACGCUGAGGAGCGAAAGCGUGGGGAGCGAACAGGCUUAGAUACCCUGGUAGUCCACGCUGUAAACGGUGGGUACUAGGUGUGGGGUCCAUUCCACGGGUUCCGUGCCGUAGCUAACGCUUUAAGUACCCCGCCUGGGGAGUACGGCCGCAAGGCUAAAACUCAAAGGAAUUGACGGGGCCCCGCACAAGCGGCGGAGCAUGCGGAUUAAUUCGAUGCAACGCGUAGAACCUUACCUGGGUUUGACAUGGAUCGGGAGUGCUCAGAGAUGGGUGUGCCUCUUUUGGGGUCGGUUCACAGGUGGUGCAUGGCUGUCGUCAGCUCGUGUCGUGAGAUGUUGGGUUAAGUCCCGCAGCGAGCGCAACCCUUGUUCACUGUUGCCAGCACGUUAUGGUGGGGACUCAGUGGAGACCGCCGGGGUCAACUCGGAGGAAGGUGGGGAUGACGUCAAGUCAUCAUGCCCCUUAUGUCCAGGGCUUCACGCAUGCUACAAUGGCUGGUACAGAGAGUGGCGAGCCUGUGAGGGUGAGCGAAUCUCGGAAAGUCGGUCUCAGUUCGGAUUGGGGUCUGCAACUCGACCUCAUGAAGUCGGAGUCGCUAGUAAUCGCAGAUCAGCAACGCUGCGGUGAAUACGUUCCCGGG
This 1343-nucleotide ribosomal RNA is filed under the name uncultured bacterium. RNAcentral describes it as "16S ribosomal RNA". It matches the Rfam family "Bacterial small subunit ribosomal RNA", at positions 28 to 1378 of the family's 1533-position model. The record is from RNAcentral.